This 234-nucleotide long non-coding RNA is filed under the name Capsicum annuum. RNAcentral's name for it is "long non-coding RNA (CANN_LNC022273)". The record is from RNAcentral. Lineage: Eukaryota; Viridiplantae; Streptophyta; Magnoliopsida; Solanales; Solanaceae.
UUCAAUAAAAUUUGAAAAUAAUGCAGUCCCAUAUCACCUUGCACACGCCUCAACAUUAUAUCAACAACAUCACACUUAAUCUCAAAUCAAUAAACUUAAAUACUUGCAUUCACUAUUUCAAGCCUAUUGGUUCACCUCCAUAUAACUAGCAUCACUAACAAAGAAAUUAUUACAUCCACCUUGGUGACCAUCCACUGUUCAAACUUAGUGUCUAGUGCUAGGCAUGAUGAAAAA